GGCCUGGGACUCCUGCAGUGGUGGCUCCUGGUAGGUGACAGGCUGAAACCCACAUGUCGGGUCUCUCCUUUGCACCCCCUUCCCUGAGAAGAAGGCCACCUAAGAGAGUCCCCUCGGAGUGAGGAAGAGUGAGGGGUGGCCAUUGCCCUUCUGACAGCUCUGGCCAGAGGCGGUCUUCCAGUCACUGUCACUCAGAAGAAAGCCAACCUGGGACGAUUGCCAGCAGCUUCUGCAGAUUCUUUUUACCACAGAACAGAGAGAAAGGAUCCUCUUGGAAGCCUGAAAACUUGUGCCUGGGGCGGACGGAAACCUGACCUUAAACCCAGCCCUGAUAGAUAGAUGCCAGCUUCCCUUUGAUAAGACCCACCUGGGAUUUUACCUCACCUGAAGGUAAGGAGAAGCUUCAGGUCUAUCACCAGGCUCUGAUGGGUGGUCUUGGGGCGGCGGCACACCGACCCACUAAUUUGGCCAAGAUUAGUAGUGUGCAACAGGAAAAGAUAGAAACCCCAGCUGUUUUCUUAGAAAGAAUUAUGGAGGCGUAUCGAAUGUUCACUCCCCUAGAUCCAGAGGCUCCAGAAAAUAAGUCAGCAGUAAUUAUGGCUUUUAUAAAUCAGGCUGCCCCUGAAAUCUGGAAAAAACUUCAGAAAAUAGAUGAGUAGGUAAGUCUUUACAGGAACUAUUGGCAGUAGCAGAGAAAGUCUUUUAACAACCGAGAGACCCCUGAAGAACGCCAAUUACGAACAAUGACAGCAGCUAACGAGUGACAGACUUGGAACCUCAUUAAGGUAUUGUUGGCAGCUACUGCUCAAGGCCCUUGGUGGAAAGGCCGAGAGGCCCAUCCUUCCCAAAGGUUUGAAAAAAGCAGAGGUCCAUACAGGGAGGGAAAAAAGAAGCUCCUUGAAGAUCAGUGUGCAUAUUGCAGGGAAAUGGGUCACUGGGCUAGAGAGUGUCCGAGAAGAAAGGAGAGACAAAAAGACACUGGGACAAAAAUCCUAGAACUGGGUGACUAGGGACGACAGGGUUCGGGUCCCCUCCCCGAACCCAGGGUAACUUUAACAAUAGAGGGGAAACCUGUUAGCUUUUUAGUAGAUAGGGGGCUCAACAUUCAGUGUUGACCCAAUCCAUGGGAAAACUAUCCAAACAAAAGACCUGGGUACAAGGAGCGACUGGCCUGAAACAAUAUUCCUGGACUACUCAGAGGACUGUGGACUUGGGGAAGGGACAGGUAUCUCAUUCUUUUGUGCUUAUUUCCAAAUGCCCCUACCCCCUUCUUGGGAGAGACCUGCUUUCUAAGAUGGGAGCAACCAUUACUUUCCAGCCCCAAAGACCAGUAAUUAUGACCACUGACUCCAUGCCAGUUCCUAUCCUUACUUUAAAUUUGGUUAAUGAAGCUUCCUUGAACCCAGCUAUCUUGCUCCCUGACCCUGAAUUGGACACUCCCUUGCAUGGCUGCUCUGAGAUUCUGGGCUGCACGUUUGACCUCCGGGAGGUCCUGAAGGACCAGCCUUUGAGAGGAGCAGAAGUGGACUGGAAUACUGAUGGGAGCAGCUUCAUCGGAGAUGGGGUAAGCCCACAUCCAUGGGGAUAUAUAUCGAGAAAGGGGACUGCUCACAGCUGAAGGUGAAGCUAUAAAGGGCCAGCAAGAAGUGUUGG
Erinaceus europaeus (western European hedgehog) is the source of this 1653-nucleotide long non-coding RNA. RefSeq lists it as uncharacterized. The transcript has 3 exons. Lineage: Eukaryota; Metazoa; Chordata; Mammalia; Eulipotyphla; Erinaceidae. The record is from RefSeq and is a predicted model, not a curated record.